GGUUGUGUAGUGUAGUGGUUAUCACUUUGGAUUUUGACCUGAGUCAAACUUUCCAAUAACCCCGGUUCGAACCCGGGCACGACCU
Molecule: non-coding RNA, 85 nt
Organism: Canariomyces notabilis
Lineage: Eukaryota; Fungi; Ascomycota; Sordariomycetes; Sordariales; Chaetomiaceae
Source: the annotation of a RefSeq genome assembly